This is a long non-coding RNA of Xenopus laevis (African clawed frog), 864 nucleotides long. RefSeq lists it as uncharacterized. NCBI's taxonomy places the organism in Eukaryota, Metazoa, Chordata, Amphibia, Anura, Pipidae. The transcript has 2 exons. The record is from RefSeq and is a predicted model, not a curated record.
ACAUGGCCCCUUAGCCUGAAGUCGGGGGGUUACAAAUCCAUUAACAGUUAAGGGGGAAAACAAGUUUCGUCGCUCAAAUAAAACACCCCUACUUGGUUGGUUGAUAUGGUUUCUACCCAAGCAGACGCCGCUGAGCCCUACAAUGCGGAGAAAACCAUAAGGUGAACCCUAUUCAUAGCAGACAGUGGACUUUACCAAAGCAGUAUGACAAGGGGUGAACGCAUCUUCCUAUAACAGAGCUUAUGGAUCUGACACGUAUUUAUGUCUUCCGUGUCUAUCGCCAACUUUGUGAGUAGGUCAGUGAUAAAUUGGGGGUUUGGAAACACAUUCAAUGAAGACAAUACGAACAGACAAACUCAGGGAGUGGUAUGGCAAGUGACACAGAAUACGUGCAGGGCGUGCUGGUGAUAGGGAACCCCGGUGCGGAAUGGAGGCGGACGUAUUACUAAUGCGUGCGUCAGAGAAUCCAGAAAUACGCUACCACGCGAAUCUGACCCACGUAAAGUAAUGGUGCCAGUGAGGUAAAGAAAGGGCAGCGGACUACCCACAAUGCUGCACACGUAGGAUUGUCGAAAUCAGUGUCGUGUGUUCGCGGCACACAGUUAUGUGACUGUCUGAUGCAGCACGGUGAUGUACGUCGGAUAAUUCCAUGAUGUAGAAAUAUGGAGGGCUCCCAAAAGACUACAGUUGAACGGAAAUGGAUAUUCUCCUACGCAGAGGAGGACAAUGUCAUCACAUUCAAGUACCCGGAGGGCCAAGAAAAAACUUUAGUUUCCAUCAUUUCUCUCAACUAUACAGCAUAAAUCAAAACAUUCUGACUUUGGAAAUUGCAUAUCAAUAAAAAAUUAAACUAACAAACUUAAA